This 1268-nucleotide long non-coding RNA is filed under the name Papio anubis (olive baboon). RNAcentral's name for it is "lncRNA (ENSPANG00000042643.1)". The record is from RNAcentral. Lineage: Eukaryota; Metazoa; Chordata; Mammalia; Primates; Cercopithecidae.
AGUUAGGGGGAAAAAGAAAAAGAAGCAAAGGUCAUAUUGAUUUUCUUUUAAAAAGAAGAGGCAGAAAUAGCCAAUUCCUUGAUAAAAAUGAGGAAAGUGGACAAGUAUGAAAUAUAUACAUCUCCACUGGGAAUUUCUAGUAAUUUUCAUGUCAGCUGACAGUGUCAUUCUACCAAAUGGAACUCACUGAAAUCAUAUAGUUCUUUAAUUAUAAAAUCAUUUUGGGAAAAGAAAAAUGUACUUUAAUUUCUGUUGCUUCAAGGGGUUGUCCGUUCAAGAUAUUUUUCUGUCCACUAUAAAUUGUAUUAGAAACUAAGCUGUAAGAAAUAAAGAUACUACAUGUCUAACACACAUAUUCCUUUUUCUUAUUAAUGUUCUCUUUUCAUACAAACCUAUCCCAGUUCUUUCAACCCUUCCUCAUAUGACUUACCUUUCAGAACCCUUAUUCGUAGAUUGUCAGUACAAGUGACAUUGUGCCGAUUCUGAACAAUUUAAAAAAGGGUAGUUGUUGUAAGCCAAUUUGUUUUGGGGUGGUUUGUUACAUAGGAAAGCUAACUAAUAGAACAGAGAUAAUUCAAAUUUUGUCUUGUUUUAAAUAAUCACAUCAUACUGCAGGUUAUGAGCUGCUUAUCUUCUGACAUAAGCAUUUCUAAAGAUUUUUCAUUGUACUGUCUUCUUAGUAAAAUAAUUUUGUAUGUGCACCCCCAGACACAUAUUUACUAAAAUUAUAUAUAUGUACAGAUGCCAUUACAUAUAUUAAAUAUCAGUGAAGCUUGAUUUCUUUUUUUAAAAUAAAAAAAAAAUUUCAAAGAAUUCAGAUCUAUAUAAGCUAAAACAAAGGGUGCUACCCCACUUCACUCUCUCAACUCCCUCCUUGGAGGCAACACACAGCAAUUUAGUAUAUUUCUUUGCAGACCCUUUUCUAUGGUUGUUAAUGCAAACUUUAAAAGUAAUUUUUUGGCUGGGUAAGGUGGCUCACACCUGUAAUCACAACACUUUGGGAGGCCGAGGCAGGUGGAUCACCUGAGGUUAGGAGUUCAAGACCAGCCUGGCCAACAUGGUGAAACCUAGUCUCUACUAAAAAUACAAAAAUUAGCCAGGCGUGGUGGCGGGUGCCUGUAAUCCCAGCUACUUGGGAGGCUGAGGCAGGAGAAUGGCUUGAGCCUGGGAGGCGGAGGUUGCAGUGAGCCGAGAUUAUGCCACUGCACUCCAGCCUGGGCAACAGAAGGAGACUACAUCUCAAAAAAAAAAAAAAAAAAAAGUAAUUU